AACGCGAAGAACCUUACCUGGGCUCGAACGGCUUUGGAUCGACGGUGGAAACACUGUUUUCCCGCAAGGGACCGGAGUCGAGGUGCUGCAUGGCUGUCGUCAGCUCGUGUCGUGAGAUGUUGGGUUAAGUCCCGCAACGAGCGCAACCCUUGUCCUGUGUUGCCACUCCGUAAGGAAGCACUCUCAGGAGACCGCCAGCGAUAAGUUGGAGGAAGGUGGGGAUGAUGUCAAGUCAUCAUGGCCUUUAUGUCCAGGGCUACACACGUGCUACAAUGGUCGGUACAAAGCGCUGCAAACCCGCGAGGGGGAGCUAAUCGCAAAAAGCCGGCCUCAGUUCGGAUUGCAGGCUGCAACUCGCCUGCAUGAAGCUGGAAUCGCUAGUAAUGCCGUAUCAGAACGAUGGCGUGAAUACGUUCCCGGGCCUUGUACACACCGGCUAC
RNAcentral lists this ribosomal RNA (440 nucleotides) under uncultured bacterium. RNAcentral's name for it is "bacterial SSU rRNA". It matches the Rfam family "Bacterial small subunit ribosomal RNA", at positions 958 to 1397 of the family's 1533-position model. The record is from RNAcentral.